This 472-nucleotide ribosomal RNA is filed under the name uncultured bacterium. RNAcentral describes it as "partial 16S ribosomal RNA". It matches the Rfam family "Bacterial small subunit ribosomal RNA", at positions 29 to 507 of the family's 1533-position model. The record is from RNAcentral.
AUGAACGCUAGCGGCAGGCCUAAUACCUGCCAGUCGAACGGGCGGUAGCAAUACCGCUAGUGGCGCACGGGUGCGUAACGCGUAACCAACCUGCCCAGAUCUGGGGGAUAGCCCGCCGAAAGGCGGAUUAAUACCGCAUAAACCCACAGUGUGGCAUCACAUAAUGGGUAAAGAUUUAUCGGAUCUGGAUGGGGUUGCGUAGCAUUAGCUAGUUGGCGGGGUAAUGGCCCACCAAGGCGACGAUGCUUAGGGGACCUGAGAGGGUGAUCCCCCACACUGGCACCGAGAUACGGGCCAGACUCCUACGGGAGGCAGCAGUAGGGAAUAUUGGGCAAUGGGCGAGAGCCUGACCCAGCCAUGCCGCGUGCCGGAUGAAGGCCUUCUGGGUUGUAAACGGCUUUUCUCAGGGAAGAAAACGGGGAUGCGUCCUCAACUGACGGUACCUGAGGAAUAAGCACCGGCUAACUCCGUG